Molecule: unclassified non-coding RNA, 433 nt
Filed under: Hevea brasiliensis (rubber tree)
Lineage: Eukaryota; Viridiplantae; Streptophyta; Magnoliopsida; Malpighiales; Euphorbiaceae
Source: RNAcentral
GUUCCCUCCAUUUCAGGGAGCGGAAUUGAGCGGUGGCGGAGAGGGCCUUUCCUUGAGCUAGGGUUUCCAGUUUCGAAGCCGAAGGGAAGCCGGUGCUUGAUUACAGAAGGCGAAACGUUGAAUAGCCAUGGAGAGUGCCUUCGCGAGCGCCUCUGCUAUAUCAGACCAGAGGCAGAAGAUCGAACAGUAUAAGCACAUUCUGUAUAACGUUUUGUCGUCAAACGAUAGGGUUCAAGCCAAGAAGUUUAUCGAUCACACACUAUCUGACGAAGUUCCACUUGUAGUUUCGCGGCAGCUCUUGCAGACUCUAGCGCAAGAGUUGGGGAAGUUGGAGGGGGAGACUCAGAAAGAGAUUGCCCAUUACAUCCUCGCUCAAAUUCAGCCGCGCGUCGUCUCUUUCGAGGAGCAGGUGUUGAUUAUUCGGGAGAAGCUU